CUACACCUGUUUGGUUAUGCUUUCAGUAC
RNAcentral lists this non-coding RNA (29 nucleotides) under Mus musculus (house mouse). Lineage: Eukaryota; Metazoa; Chordata; Mammalia; Rodentia; Muridae. The record is from RNAcentral.